Molecule: ribosomal RNA, 638 nt
Filed under: uncultured bacterium
Lineage: Bacteria
Description: bacterial SSU rRNA
Rfam family: Bacterial small subunit ribosomal RNA
Source: RNAcentral
UUUGGAAUCGAGUGGCAAACGGGUGAGUAACACGUAAACAACCUGCCUUCAGGAUGGGGACAACAGACGGAAACGACUGCUAAUACCGAAUACGCUUGGAAGACCGCAUGAUCUUCCAAGGAAAGGGUGGCCUCUACCUGUAAGCUAUCGCCUGAAGAGGGGUUUGCGUCUGAUUAGGCAGUUGGUGAGGUAACGGCCCACCAAACCUACGAUCAGUAGCCGGUCUGAGAGGAUGAACGGCCACACUGGAACUGAGACACGGUCCAGACUCUACGGGAGGCAGCAGUGGGGAAUCUUCCGCAAUGGGCGAAAGUCUGACGGAGCAACGCCGCGUGAGUGAUGACGGCCUUCGGGUUGUAAAGCUCUGUGAUCGGGGACGAACGGUCCGUAAGCCAAUACCUUAUGGAAGUGACGGUACCCGAAUAGCAAGCCACGGCUAACUACGUGCCAGCAGCCGCGGUAAUACGUAGGUGGCAAGCGUUGUCCGGAAUUAUUGGGCGUAAAGCGCGCGCAGGCGGCUUUCUAAGUCCAUCUUAAAAGUGCGGGGCUUAACCCCGUGAUGGGAUGGAAACUGGAAAGCUGGAGUAUCGGAGAGGAAAGUGGAAUUCCUAGUGUAGCGGUGAAAUGCGUAGAGAUUA